GAAGGAUGAGAAGCUUCGACUAAGGUUCGAUUCGAGCGCAGCGAGAAAGCGUUGCCGCAGGCAACGACCCGAAGGGCGAAGCGCGCAGCGCUGAGUCAUCCUUCCCCACCACCA
RNAcentral lists this small RNA (114 nucleotides) under Salmonella enterica. RNAcentral describes it as "partial RtT sRNA". It matches the Rfam family "RtT RNA", at positions 17 to 130 of the family's 130-position model. Rfam says of the family: This family represents a bacterial cis-regulatory element known as RtT RNA. The exact function of RtT is unknown although it is thought that it may be involved in changing the cellular response in relation to amino acid starvation. The record is from RNAcentral. Lineage: Bacteria; Pseudomonadati; Pseudomonadota; Gammaproteobacteria; Enterobacterales; Enterobacteriaceae.